RNAcentral lists this ribosomal RNA (253 nucleotides) under uncultured bacterium. RNAcentral describes it as "partial 16S ribosomal RNA". It matches the Rfam family "Bacterial small subunit ribosomal RNA", at positions 524 to 776 of the family's 1533-position model. The record is from RNAcentral.
UACGUAGGGUGCGAGCGUUAAUCGGAAUUACUGGGCGUAAAGCGUGCGCAGGCGGUUCGUUGUGUCUGAUGUGAAAGCCCCGGGCUCAACCUGGGAAUGGCAUUGGAAACUGGCGAGCUAGAGUGUGGCAGAGGGGGAUAGAAUUCCGCGUGUAGCAGUGAAAUGCGUAGAUAUGCGGAGGAACACCGAUGGCGAAGGCAAUCCCCUGGGCCUGCACUGACGCUCAUGCACGAAAGCGUGGGGAGCAGACAGG